RNAcentral lists this ribosomal RNA (294 nucleotides) under uncultured bacterium. RNAcentral's name for it is "partial 16S ribosomal RNA". It matches the Rfam family "Archaeal small subunit ribosomal RNA", at positions 455 to 747 of the family's 1478-position model. The record is from RNAcentral.
GUGCCAGCCGCGCGCGGUAAUACCGGCAGCCCGAGUGAUGGCCGAUAUUAUUGGGCCUAAAGCGUUCGUAGCCGGCCGGACAAGUCCGUUGGGAAAUCUGCGCGCUUAACGCGCAGGCGGCCAGCGGAAACUGUCCGGCUUGGGGCCGGAAGACUCGAGGGGUACGUCCGGGGUAGGAGUGAAAUCCCAUAAUCCUGGACGGACCGCCGGUGGCGAAAGCACGUCGGGAAGACGGAUCCGACGGUGAGGGACGAAAGCCAGGGUCUCCAACCGGAUUAGAUACCCCGGUAGUCC